AUGGCGGCAGUCCAUCUCUCCGAUGCUCGGUCGCCGAUGUCCCGCUCGAGGCUCUCGAUCUCGUCGCUGCAGCUGGCCGGGUCGUUGAUGCCAACCUCCUCCAGGAUCUCCUCCAGCCUCUCCCGCUCGGGCACGAUCUCCCGCUCGAUUUCCUCGAUCAGCGACAGCACGGUGGUCUUGAGCGCCGGCUCCGGCUCGGCGGCCGACGCGCAACGGCGGCACUGGCGCGAGGCGAGGGCGAGGAGGUCCAUGACGUCGUCGGCGAGGCCGAGCUCGACGACGGGCAGGAGGUCGAGCAGCGUGGCGAGGUCGUGGUGCAGGUCCCGCAGCUCGGCGUCCAUCUCGUCCGACUGCAGCAGCAGCAGCGUGCGGCUCCGCGCGGCGCAGUCGGCCACCAUGGCCUUGAAGCGCUGCAGCACGAGGAGCACCUCCCGCAGGCACAGCGAGGCCGACCGCGGCAGGUCGCCUUCGCCCGCCGGGUUGAUUAGGGGAAAAGGCAGGGGGGGUUUAUCAAAAGUGCGUGCAUUGACCGGGCCAGCCACCUGGCUGCCAAUUGUCGUUUUCUGA
This 567-nucleotide ribosomal RNA is filed under the name Triticum aestivum (bread wheat). RNAcentral's name for it is "partial small subunit ribosomal RNA". The record is from RNAcentral. Lineage: Eukaryota; Viridiplantae; Streptophyta; Magnoliopsida; Poales; Poaceae.